Molecule: ribosomal RNA, 453 nt
Filed under: uncultured bacterium
Lineage: Bacteria
Description: bacterial SSU rRNA
Rfam family: Bacterial small subunit ribosomal RNA
Source: RNAcentral
CAAGUCGAACGGAGUAUUUAUUUCGGUAGAUACUUAGUGGCGAACGGGUGAGUAACGCGUGAGCAACCUGACCUUUUGAGGGGGAUAACAACCGGAAACGGUUGCUAAUACCGCAUAAGACCACGCUACCGCAUGGUAGAGGGGUCAAAGGAGCAAUCCGCAGAAGGAGGGGCUCGCGUCCCAUUAGAUAGUUGGUGAGGUAACGGCCCACCAAGUCAGCGAUGGGUAGCCGAGCUGAGAGGCUGAUCGGCCACACUGGAACUGAGACACGGUCCAGACUCCUACGGGAGGCAGCAGUGGGGAAUAUUGGGCAAUGGGGGAAACCCUGACCCAGCAACGCCGCGUGAGGGAAGAAGGCUUUCGGGUUGUAAACCCCUGUCGCAGGGGACGAAACAAAUGACGGUACCCUGUGAGGAAGCCCCGGCUAACUACGUGCCAGCAGCCGCGGUAAUA